This 245-nucleotide ribosomal RNA is filed under the name uncultured bacterium. Its description in RNAcentral is "partial 16S ribosomal RNA". It matches the Rfam family "Bacterial small subunit ribosomal RNA", at positions 524 to 769 of the family's 1533-position model. The record is from RNAcentral.
UACGAAGGGGGCUAGCGUUGUUCGGAAUCACUGGGCGUAAAGGGCGCGUAGGCGGCCUUGUAAGUCGGGGGUGAAAGCCUGUGGCUCAACCACAGAAUUGCCUUCGAUACUGCGGGGCUUGAGACCGGAAGAGGUCAGUGGAACUGCGAGUGUAGAGGUGAAAUUCGUAGAUAUUCGCAAGAACACCAGUGGCGAAGGCGGCUGACUGGUCCGGUUCUGACGCUGAGGCGCGAAAGCGUGGGAGC